CAGCAGCCGCGGGAAUACAGAGGGUGCGAGCGUUAAUCGGAUUUACUGGGCGUAAAGCGUGCGUAGGCGGCUUUUUAAGUCGGAUGUGAAAUCCCUGAGCUUAACUUAGGAAUUGCAUUCGAUACUGGGAAGCUAGAGUAUGGGAGAGGAUGGUAGAAUUCCAGGUGUAGCGGUGAAAUGCGUAGAGAUCUGGAGGAAUACCGAUGGCGAAGGCAGCCAUCUGGCCUAAUACUGACGCUGAGGUACGAAAGCAUGGGGAGCAAACAGGAUUAGAUACCCCUGUAGUCCCUGUCUCUUAUCU
Molecule: ribosomal RNA, 301 nt
Filed under: uncultured bacterium
Lineage: Bacteria
Description: partial 16S ribosomal RNA
Rfam family: Bacterial small subunit ribosomal RNA
Source: RNAcentral